Small nucleolar RNA from Mercurialis annua (annual mercury), 107 nucleotides. NCBI's taxonomy places the organism in Eukaryota, Viridiplantae, Streptophyta, Magnoliopsida, Malpighiales, Euphorbiaceae. The record is from RefSeq and is a predicted model, not a curated record.
AGGCGAUGAUGAAGGACAUGUCUUUGGAGGUCUUUGAACCUCUCCCAAGCUUCAUAAAGUGACUCUCCCUCAUAUUGGUAAAAGUCGAUGAUGUCUUUCGUCAACUU